Molecule: transfer RNA, 71 nt
Filed under: Loxodonta africana (African savanna elephant)
Lineage: Eukaryota; Metazoa; Chordata; Mammalia; Proboscidea; Elephantidae
Rfam family: tRNA
About the family: Transfer RNA (tRNA) molecules are approximately 80 nucleotides in length.
Source: Rfam by way of RNAcentral
GCAGUGGUGGUCCACUGGUAGAAUUCUUGCCUUCUCUGCAGGAGACCCAGGCUCGAUUCCUGGCCAAUGCA